GGUAGUCCACGCCCUAAACGUUGUGAACUAGGUGUUGGUCGGAUUGACCCGAUCAGUGCCGCAGCUAACGCAUUAAGUUCACCGCCUGGGGACUACGGCCGCAAGGUUAAAACUCAAAGGAAUAGGCGGGGCCCGCACAAGCAGCGGAGCGUGUGGUUUAAUUCGACGCAACGCGAAGAACCUUACCCAGGCUUGACAUGCACGGAAACCCCCGUGAAAGCGGGCUGCCCGCGAGGGCGUCGUGCACAGGUGCUGCAUGGCUGUCGUCAGCUCGUGCCGUGAGGUGUUGGGUUAAG
RNAcentral lists this ribosomal RNA (296 nucleotides) under uncultured bacterium. RNAcentral's name for it is "partial 16S ribosomal RNA". It matches the Rfam family "Bacterial small subunit ribosomal RNA", at positions 789 to 1084 of the family's 1533-position model. The record is from RNAcentral.